ACGUACGCUGGCGGCACGCCUAACACAUGCAAGUCGAACGAAGUAGCAAUACUUAGUGGCAGACGGGUGAGUAACAUGUAGGUAUCUGCCCUUUGGCCUGGAAUAACACGAGGAAACUUGUGCUAAUACCGGAUAAGUCUUUACGGAGAAAGCUUUAUGCACCAUUGGAUGAGCCUGCACUUGAUUAGUUUGUUGGUGGGGUAAUGGCCUACCAAGACUUUGAUCAAUAGCUGAUUUGAGAGGAUGAUCAGCCACAUUGGGACUGAGACACGGCCCAAACUCCUACGGGAGGCAGCAGUGGGGAAUCUUGCACAAUGGAGGAAACUCUGAUGCAGCGAUGCCGCGUGAGUGAAGAAGGCCUUUGGGUUGUAAAGCUCUUUCGUCGGGGAAGAAAAUGACUGUACCCGAAUAAGAAGGUCCGGCUAACUUCGUGCCAGCAGCCGCGGUAAUACGAAGGGACCUAGCGUAGUUCGGAAUUACUGGGCUUAAAGAGUUCGUAGGUGGUUGAAAAAGUUGGUGGUGAAAUCCCAGAGCUUAACUCUGGAACUGCCAUCAAAACUUUUCAGCUAGAGUUUGAUAGAGGAAAGCAGAAUUUCUAGUGUAGAGGUGAAAUUCGUAGAUAUUAGAAAGAAUACCAAUUGCGAAGGCAGCUUUCUGGAUCAUUACUGACACUGAGGAACGAAAGCAUGGGUAGCGAAGAGGAUUAGAUACCCUCGUAGUCCAUGCCGUAAACGAUGUGUGUUAGACGUUGGAAAUUUAUUUUCAGUGUCGCAGCGAAAGCGAUAAACACACCGCCUGGGGAGUACGACCGCAAGGUUAAAACUCAAAUGAAUUGACGGGGACCCGCACAAGUAGUGGAGCAUGUGGUUUAAUUCGAAGAUACGCGCAGAACCUUACCAACACUUGACAUGUUCGUCGCGACUUUAAGAGAUUAAAGUUUUCGGUUCGGCCGGACGAAACACAGGUGCUGCAUGGCUGUCGUCAGCUCGUGUCGUGAGAUGUUGGGUUAAGUCCCGCAACGAGCGCAACCCUCACUUUUAGUUGCCAUCAUUAAGUUGGGCACUCUGAAAGAACUGCCAGUGAUAAGCUGGAGGAAGGUGGGGAUGACGUCAAGUCCUCAUGGCCCUUACGUGUUGGGCUACACACGUGCUACAAUGGUAUCUACAACAGGAAGCAAAACGGCAACGUUAAGCAAAUCCCUAAAAGAUACCUCAGUUCGGAUUGCACUCUGCAACUCGAGUGCAUGAAGCUGGAAUUACUAGUAAUCGUGGAUCAGCGUGCCACGGUGAAUGCGUUCCCGGGUCUUGCACACACCGCCCGUCAAGGG
This 1327-nucleotide ribosomal RNA is filed under the name uncultured Alphaproteobacteria bacterium. RNAcentral describes it as "bacterial SSU rRNA". It matches the Rfam family "Bacterial small subunit ribosomal RNA", at positions 29 to 1403 of the family's 1533-position model. Lineage: Bacteria; Pseudomonadati; Pseudomonadota; Alphaproteobacteria. The record is from RNAcentral.